CUGCCGGAGGCCUCUUCUCCCCAUUAAGGCCCUGAUGGAGGCCUCUUCUCCCUAUUAAGGCCCUGAUGGAGGCCUCUUCUCCCUAUUAAGGACCUGCCGGAGGCCUCUUCUCUUUAUUAAGGCCCUGCUGGAGGCCUCUUCUCCCUAUUAAGGCCCUGGUGGAGGCCUCUUCUCCCUAUUAAGGCCCUGGUGGAGGCAUGCCUCUUCUCUUUAUUAAGGCCCUGCUGGAGGCCUCUUCUCCCCAUUAAGGCCCUGAUGGAGGCAUGCCUCUUCUCUUUAUUAAGGCCCUGGUGGAGGCCCCUUCUCCCCAUUAAGGCCCUGGUGGAGGCCUCUUCUCCCUAUUAAGGCCCUGAUGGAGGCAUGCCUCUUCUCCCUAUUAAGGCCCUGGUGGAGGCCUCUUCUCCCUAUUAAGGCCCUGGUGGAGGCAUGCCUCUUCUCCCUAUUAAGGCCCUGCUGGAGGCCUCUUCUCCCUAUUAAGGCCCUGGUGGAGGCCUCUUCUCCCUAUUAAGGCCCUGAUGGAGGCCUCUUCUCCCUAUUAAGGCCCUGGUGGAGGCAUGCCUCUUCUCUCUAUUAAGGCCCUGGUGGAGGCUUCUUCUCCCUAUUAAGUGUUGGGUUAGUCAACUGUCAGGUUGUCCAGCAUCAAUGUCCUGGUGGGACUUUUGCCUGGUAGCAAGGCAAUGGCCCCGGGCCCUGUAUCCAUAGAGACUGCUACUCUUAUUUAUCUAGAUUCAGCUCCCAUGCAGGCCUCUGUUUGAUGGGAAAUCCCUGUCUCGCAUUUCGCCUCCAGUUUGCAGGAUAAUUGUCAGUUUUGUGCUUAGGGAUAGAGUGAGUGGGAGGAAGGUGUUUGCGCUCGAACUGAAAACUCUGACAUUUAGAAGCGAGGAUCAGGGGAACUGCCAUGAUCUGAGAGGUGUUGUGGUUCACUGUCACGGUCAUUUGUGUACUAGACUUAAUUUAUCAAAUCUAUUGCCAAAUAGGAAGCUACUAUUCUGCAGGUGGCAGAAAAUAUGGUGGUGUCCCUGUGGGACACAUCAGGUAAUAUAGCACUUGCCAAGCUUUAAUAAACAACGUCAGGUAACAUAACACUGACCAAGCUUUAAUAAACAACGUCAG
This 1113-nucleotide long non-coding RNA is filed under the name Salmo salar (Atlantic salmon). RNAcentral describes it as "lncRNA (ENSSSAG00000091987.1)". The record is from RNAcentral. Lineage: Eukaryota; Metazoa; Chordata; Actinopteri; Salmoniformes; Salmonidae.